RNAcentral lists this ribosomal RNA (470 nucleotides) under uncultured bacterium. Its description in RNAcentral is "bacterial SSU rRNA". It matches the Rfam family "Bacterial small subunit ribosomal RNA", at positions 28 to 507 of the family's 1533-position model. The record is from RNAcentral.
GACGAACGCUGGCGGCGUGCCUAACACAUGCAAGUCGAGCGGAGGCAUACGAGGAGUAAUCUGAGUAUGCCUGAGCGGCGGACGGGUGAGUAACGCGUGAGCAACCUGCCUUCCACAGGGGGAUAACGUACCGAAAGGUACACUAAUACCGCAUGAGACCACGGUACCGAUGGUAGUGGGGUCAAAGGAGCAAUCCGGUGGGAGAUGGGCUCGCGUCCGAUUAGGUAGUUGCGGGGUAACGGCCCACCAAGCCUGUGAUCGGUAGCCGGCCUGAGAGGGUGAACGGCCACAUUGGAACUGAGAGACGGUCCAAACUCCUACGGGAGGCAGCAGUGGGGAAUAUUGGGCAAUGGGGGGAACCCUGACCCAGCAACGCCGCGUGAGGGAAGAAGGUUUUCGGAUUGUAAACCUCUGUUCUUGGAGAAGAGUGGAAGACGGUAUCCAAGGAGGAAGCCCCGGCUAACUACGUG